CCAUCAAUUCUAAGCUGCUACCAUGGUGUUAGCACAGAAGUCCUCAUCACUGCCUCCUAGUCUUACCCUUACCCUUGUGGCCAAGAGCAUCGGUGCCUGGAGUGUACCUAGAAGGUGAACGACGUCGCCUUCUUGCAACCUGCGUAGGCUGAGUAGAAGGAGCAUCAGGAAGCUGAGAUAACCCAAGCUCGUCAUAGUCACGCUCCUCGGCCACCCCCUCUUCGUCGUCAUCAUCAUCGCUUUGAAAAGUGUCCAUGGUUGGCCGAGACGAGCUCUGUCCUCCAGAUCCUAUCAACAUUGUUCAAAU
This 307-nucleotide long non-coding RNA is filed under the name Sorghum bicolor (sorghum). RNAcentral's name for it is "long non-coding RNA (SBIC_LNC013038)". Lineage: Eukaryota; Viridiplantae; Streptophyta; Magnoliopsida; Poales; Poaceae. The record is from RNAcentral.